AGAGUAAAAAGUCAAAACACAAGCACAAGAAGAAGAGCAAGAAGAAGAGAAGAUGGAGGGAUGAAGGGGAGGACAGUGGGAGUGAGAGAGAGAGCAGUGAAGAGAGUGGAGAUGAAGUCAAGAGUGACUUGUUAAAUGACCACCUUCUUCACAGGGUGAGGAGUCUGCGCCAUCACAUCACCCCAGCUGACUUGUAAAGACUGUCCAGCUGUCCUGAGCUGUCCCACUGGUGACUGCACCUGUGCUGUCCCACUGAUGAUUGCACCUGUGCUGUCCCACUGAUGAUUACACCUGUGCUGUCCCACUGAUGAUUGCACCUGUGCUGUCCCACUGAUGAUUGCACCUGUGCUGUCCCACUGAUGAUUGCACCUGUGCUGUCCCACUGAUGAUUGCACCUGUGCUGUCCCACUGAUGAUUGCACCUGUGCUGUCCCACUGAUGAUUGCACCUGUGCUGCUGAAGUGGACCUGUCAUUGCCCGAUUCUGAACUCUAAAGCCACGGCAAUUCAAUUACGUGAUGUCCUCAAUCUACACUACACAUAAAACCUUAUCUGAAUGCCAAUGCCGCAUGCCAGGCAGCCAUAACUGGUUCUAGUUCUAGUACAUGUAUGUGUUUUUCCUUGUACAAAUAUCUGAAUAAAUUGAUAUGUAUGCAAAGUUUAUCAUUGUCUUGACUACUUAUUCACCUGUUGGUUGUACAUUUUAAAAGAAAUGGAGUCUCCCAGUGAGCAGAAUUAAAUUAAAAGUUCAAUGAGCUAUCUUGUGUAAGACAGAAGACAAACCAAGGAAUAAAUUCAGCAAAAACCAGGUAAAAGGUAAUAACCAAAACAUGCUUGUGUAACGAAUGUGCCCAAAGUAAUCCGUUUAUUUUCAUGGUUUACUGUUCACAGAAGAUAUUACACCAAUAAGUUAUGAUAUUCUAGAAUUUACUAAAACAGUUGCUAAUGAUUUUUAGGACAAAUUUAUAUUAUAUACAUGUACUUCUGCAGCAUCCUUUUAUUUCUUUUACAGGCCCUCUCCAUAAUGACUUAUAGUAUGGAUUUUAUUGGUUUGCAUCAUUUGUUGACCAUACUUACUUUUAUGUAUAUUUUGUAUGCAAAUAUGGGUAAGAUUUGAUAUAUUGUAGGCCUGAAAACAAAGUACACCCUUGUUUUUGUAAUCACAGUAAAUUCAACUAAGCACAUUACAAGCUACAUGUACAUAGUUCAUAAGAUUGCAAUACAUGUACAUCUAAUACAUCAUCAUGUCAAAUAUUCUGUGUUCUACCACAUUUGUUGUUCUAAAUGGCCUGUAAGACCAUUUUCCAUAUAUCAUCUACCCUACACAUCUUCUGUAGGCUCUGAAUGAUUUUU
This is a long non-coding RNA of Branchiostoma floridae (Florida lancelet), 1351 nucleotides long. RefSeq lists it as uncharacterized. The transcript has 2 exons. The record is from RefSeq and is a predicted model, not a curated record. NCBI's taxonomy places the organism in Eukaryota, Metazoa, Chordata, Leptocardii, Amphioxiformes, Branchiostomatidae.